This 1181-nucleotide ribosomal RNA is filed under the name Olleya sp. Hel_I_2. RNAcentral's name for it is "bacterial SSU rRNA". It matches the Rfam family "Bacterial small subunit ribosomal RNA", at positions 124 to 1312 of the family's 1533-position model. Lineage: Bacteria; Pseudomonadati; Bacteroidota; Flavobacteriia; Flavobacteriales; Flavobacteriaceae. The record is from RNAcentral.
AUCUACCUCUUACUAAGGGAUAGCCCAGAGAAAUUUGGAUUAAUAUCUUAUAGUAUGUUAACUUGGCAUCAAGAUAACAUUAAAGGUUACGGUAAGAGAUGACUAUGCGUCCUAUUAGCUAGAUGGUGUGGUAACGGCACACCAUGGCAACGAUAGGUAGGGGCCCUGAGAGGGGGAUCCCCCACACUGGUACUGAGACACGGACCAGACUCCUACGGGAGGCAGCAGUGAGGAAUAUUGGACAAUGGAGGCAACUCUGAUCCAGCCAUGCCGCGUGCAGGAAGACUGCCCUAUGGGUUGUAAACUGCUUUUAUACAGGAAGAAACACUCUCACGUGUGAGAGCUUGACGGUACUGUAAGAAUAAGGAUCGGCUAACUCCGUGCCAGCAGCCGCGGUAAUACGGAGGAUCCAAGCGUUAUCCGGAAUCAUUGGGUUUAAAGGGUCCGUAGGUGGAUAAUUAAGUCAGAGGUGAAAUCCUGCAGCUCAACUGUAGAAUUGCCUUUGAUACUGGUUGUCUUGAGUUAUUAUGAAGUAGUUAGAAUAUGUAGUGUAGCGGUGAAAUGCAUAGAUAUUACAUAGAAUACCAAUUGCGAAGGCAGAUUACUAAUAAUAUACUGACACUGAUGGACGAAAGCGUGGGGAGCGAACAGGAUUAGAUACCCUGGUAGUCCACGCCGUAAACGAUGGUCACUAGCUGUUCGAACUUAGGUUUGAGUGGCUAAGCGAAAGUGAUAAGUGACCCACCUGGGGAGUACGUUCGCAAGAAUGAAACUCAAAGGAAUUGACGGGGGCCCGCACAAGCGGUGGAGCAUGUGGUUUAAUUCGAUGAUACGCGAGGAACCUUACCAGGGCUUAAAUGUAAAUUGACAGGUUUAGAAAUAGACUUUUCUUCGGACAAUUUACAAGGUGCUGCAUGGUUGUCGUCAGCUCGUGCCGUGAGGUGUCAGGUUAAGUCCUAUAACGAGCGCAACCCCUGUUGUUAGUUGCCAGCGAGUCAUGUCGGGAACUCUAACAAGACUGCCAGUGCAAACUGUGAGGAAGGUGGGGAUGACGUCAAAUCAUCACGGCCCUUACGUCCUGGGCUACACACGUGCUACAAUGGUAGGGACAGAGAGCAGCCACUGGGUGACCAGGAGCGAAUCUAUAAACCCUAUCACAGUUCGGAUCGGAGUCUGCAACU